AUGAUGGAUACCGCGGCGCACGUUCUCGUGUUCCCUUGGCCACGGCAGGGGCACAUCAACCCCAUUCUCCAUUUCGCCACCACCCUCGUCGACGCCGGCGUCCAAGUCAGCUUCCUCCACACCGAGCGCAACCUCCGCCGUCUUGCCCAGGCGCCUCUGCCCGGCCUCCGCUUGCUUUCUAUUCCCGACGGCCUCCCCGACGACCAACCCUGCAGCUUCUUGGAUCUCAUGGAGUCCAUGUGCACGACCGGCAGCGCCGCGUACCGUGCCCUGCUCUUGUCGCUUCUCUCUGCCGUUGAUGCGCCGGUGACAUGCGUUGUCGCCGAUGGCACCAUGCCGUUCGCCUUCGACAUCGCCGAGGAGCUCGGCAUCCCGGCGCUCGCCUUCGCCCCGUACAGCGCGUGCAGCUACCUGGCGCUCCUGUCCAUGCCCAAGCUCCUCGAGCUCGGCGACACCGCCUUCCCUGCGGACGACCCGGUGCGUGGCGUUCCGGGGAUGGAGGGCUUCCUCCGUCGACGUGACCUUCCUCGUGGUCUCUCCUGCGCUGAAAAAGGCGACGGAGACCCCUUGGUGCUAAAGCUUGCCGAGGUCACCGCUCGUAGCUGCAAGGCACGUGCGCUCAUAAUCAACACCGCUGCGUCCAUGGAGGGGGCAGCACUCGCUCACAUCGCGUCGUGCACAUGCGAGGUCUUCGCCGUUGGCCCACUGCACGCCAGGUCGAGGAUCGCCGCAAGCGCGAGCCUGUGGCGGGAGGACGACGGAUGCAUGGCGUGGCUGGACGGCCACGAGGACCGAUCCGUCGUGUACGUGAGCCUGGGGAGCCUCGCCGUGAUCACGCAUGAGCAGUUCACUGAAUUCCUCACCGGCCUGGCAGCCACCGGGUACGCCUUCCUCUGGGUGCUCCGGCCGGGCAUGGUCCAGAUGACCAGCUCCGCGCUCCUCGGAGAAACCGUCGAGGCAGUGGGAGGCGGCAGGGGGCGCGUCGUCGAGUGGGCUCCUCAGCGGGACGUGUUGCGUCAUCGGGCGGUGGGUUGCUUCCUGACACACGCCGGAUGGAACUCGACGCUGGAGUGCGCCGUCGAGGGCGUGCCGAUGGUGUGCUGGCCCUUCUUCGCCGACCAGCAGACCAACAGCCGCUUCGUGGACGCCGUGUGGAGGACGGGGCUGGAUAUGAAGGACGUCUGCGACAGAGGCGUCGUGGAGAGGACGGUGAGGGAGGUCAUGAUUUCCGACGAGAUCAAGGAGGCGGCCCAAGCCAUGGCGCAACAGUUGAGGCUGGAUGUCGCGGAGGUGGGGUCGUCGUCGUUCGAGUUCGAGCGGCUCGUCCGCUUCAUCAGGGAGCUCAACAUCAGUUCCUCGAUCUCUGAUGAAGCCCAGAAAGAAUGA
RNAcentral lists this ribosomal RNA (1386 nucleotides) under Triticum aestivum (bread wheat). RNAcentral describes it as "partial small subunit ribosomal RNA". Lineage: Eukaryota; Viridiplantae; Streptophyta; Magnoliopsida; Poales; Poaceae. The record is from RNAcentral.